ACAAUUGAAAAAAGGAACUAUAAACCCUAUAAACAACAAUUAGAAUUCUCACUAUUAAAGAAGAAGUAAUCAACUACAAAGACUACCAUCAAAAUGGUUAGAUAUCAAGAUAUAUAAUCGAAGAACUAUGAAACUCGUUAGUUUAUGAGGGGUCAUAGAAUGACAUAGAAUAAAAGAUCCAUCUUUCGAGAAGAAACCAAUGAAAGUAUAUUGCAACUAUUGGGUCUAAUUAUGAUUUGGGCCUCUAUUUAAUCCAAGAAUUAAAGGAUACUUGGAGGAGGUGAAAUCACGUUGGUUUCUUUGCAGCCUUACACGCAUGAGGAUGAGGGUGUCUAACUCUACACGAUGAAGAAAAGAAAUAUGGAAAAGAAAGAGGAAAAUGAUGCACACAUACAUAGCAAUAUGAAUAAGGGAGAUGAGAAGAGAUGCUACACAAUUUUACGUGGUUCAGCAAAAUGAAGCCUACAUCCACGGGAAGGAACCCUUUCUUAAUUUUGAAGAUGAGUACACAGAAAACUCUCUUUAUCACUCUUAUUUUUCUUGUAAAUGAAAGUUAUGUCUAAAGACUAAUUUGUUAGAAAGCACCUUUACAUAUUUAUAGGUGGUUAAAAGCAUGAGUUAGUUAAGAGAAAAAACUAUGUAGACUUGAUUCUGUUGGAAUUCCUUUAUUUUUACAAUCUCCACAUUGAAUCCAACUUGAAAUGUGUUAAGGAUCCUUCCAUCCUA
Molecule: long non-coding RNA, 726 nt
Organism: Cucumis sativus (cucumber)
Lineage: Eukaryota; Viridiplantae; Streptophyta; Magnoliopsida; Cucurbitales; Cucurbitaceae
Exons: 2
Source: RefSeq, a predicted model, not a curated record